UAUGGGAAUCAAAGAUGAGCAAAAUUUAGCCACCAUGAGUGGGAAAGAUGCUUAUGCAACUGUUCUGGCCAUUUGACUUUUUUCCCCAUCCUGCUGUGCAGCGGUGAUCCCAAAAAGGGGGAAUUCUGCUUUAAGCUCAAUCUUUGGCAUUGUAUUCUUGUUUCUCUCCUGGACAUUCAUUCAUGCCUACCUUAUAGGGGGACAUAUUUUGCAAAAGGCGUGACUUCUGCCUUCUUGCUUUUGCAAAUCAUUGUUUAAAAAGCCGUGACAGUAUUCCUUCCUUUUUCCAAACAGAAAUAUCAUUUUAAUUACUUCAGCUCCACCUUUACUGGCUGGAAUUGGACGCUUCCAGACAUCUGGUACUAACUUUCUGAACCAGAUGGUAUUUAUUGCCAGAACCUCCUCCACCCCCACCCCAAAUUUCAUGCUGGUCAUGUUUGCGCUUGACAGUCCGUCACAGGGCUUGCACGUGGCGGCAGAUUUUGCUCUGCAUCCCCUGGCUAGCAUGGCUCUAAUUUUAAGAGUUCAAAUGACACCAAACCUUGUUUUAGGGAGACAUCUCUUUCCAGGGGACUAAAACAGGGAAAUCAUAACAUAAACUGAAAGUUAAGCACUUGUUUGAGUGCUUUCUUGCAUUAGGGCUUAGCCUAGGAAGGAUAUUCAUAACCAAAGAGAAUGUUUUCCAGCAGACUCUGGCAUCACAAAUCGUUGUCAUUUACUCUCCUCUGGAGGUGUACAUCCCAUGACAGAAAUGGAGGAAGGCCCCACAGCAUCAGCCAUGGUAAGGUAGGAAAGAACUAGAGAUUGGUGUGCUGGUGUUCCCAUUGCACCCCAAGCAGGAGGGAACAGCGAGGCUGUCAGGUCUGCUGCCUGUCUGCACAUGCAACUUGUAGUUUUGGAGUGAUGUUAAUACAUCAAAGGGGCGCAGAAUUAUGUACGGCUCUAGAGUUCGCCAGAUGUGAUUACACUGUUUUUCCUCUUUAUAGUCAUAUCGAAAGGAUUAGACUUUUUAAUGUACAAUAUACUGCCAAAGUACUGAGAGGCUGAAUGUCCUCUCUGUCUGGGGAGCAGCAUACAACCCUCUCUCCUGGAUCUCCAUGCUGGGGUUACCCCAUCUCCUGACAGGUACUUCCCUGCUUGCAGAUGGGAAUGCAGGUCCUUUUCCUUACGAUACUCACAAAAAUAAAUAAAUAAAUAAAUAAAAAUAAAAAUAAAUAAAUAAAAAUAAAAAUAAAUAAAUAAAAAUAAAAAUAAAUAAAAUUAAAAAUAAAAAUAAAAAUAAAAAGCAGGUUAGGUUAACCUGGCCCAAAAUGCUUCUCUGCAAAAGAUGUAAUGCUCAAAAAUAAAGCCAAAGAGUGUGUACAGCACUGGGUAUCAAAGGACUGUUUCAUCAACAACAAACAGCACAACCAGAAUGCUGGGCAAGAUUCAUGGUGUCAUGAAAGCAAGGAUGAUACUACAUGGUUACCCCAGCACAGGCUGCACAAGAGAGAGCAGAGCCAAAGCGCCACUUGGGGGACAGUGUCUGUCUGACAAGUAUCUCUGUACCCAUGCUUCUGAGGUGGUAAUGAUCUGCACUUUACAAUUCACACUUGUGUGAGUAUAAGACAGAGGGAAAGGUUAUGCACAGCGCACAGCACUGGAAAUUUGCACGCACACACACACACACGUGCCAGCAUGAUGAAUAAUACCGAGUGGCAUUGCAGAGAAUUUCUACCGGCAUGACUUUAGGAUGUUUACCAUUACUCACAGGAGGUGAAUCCGUCAACAGCUAUGCAGACUAUCCUGAGUGAGUGCCAGCAGGACUUUCAUACCCUCCCCCCCACUGUCAUGCAAGCUGUGCUUGUCACAUAUUUUAUAAGAACUGAUGUUUUUCAGCUGUUUGAGAAUUUUUGCAAUGUGCAACUCUAUCCAUUCCUGGAUUGUUUUUUCAGGAAAUCUCUCUCUGGGCAUCUAGGUCCUACCAGCACUGGUGAGAUAGCAUGUAAAAGAGAGAAAGACUGGGAUAUCCAAAAGGAGAUCUGUUUCUAAUAAGCCCAUGGAAAUUGCUAGGGUUAUGCAAACAGGUGAGGCACUUCUGUGUGCUGGGGAAUUUACCCAUUAGACAACACCAUUGGACACCUUCUUUGAAGCUUUCACAGAGCAUCAGUGGGAAUACAUUUCUGUAGCUGCCCAGUCCCUACCUGUACAUCCCAGUCAUGAUCUAACACCCACUCCUUCUGCUGUGGCACCUCCCUGCAAUGCUCCCUGUGCUGAAUUUGUUCCAUUUGUGGGUGAGAGACAUAAAUCCCAGACAGAUUCUCUCAGAGAAGUGCUGGGCCUUGAGGGACAGCAAAAAUUGUAUCAAGCACUAAAUCAAGCUUGACAGAACUUUUCUGAAGCAAAUCAAACCAAGAGCAGGCCACUGAAGUAUUGUCAAUCCCCAUCAUGGAGAACAUUCACAUAGAAUCACAGAAUCAUGGAAUGAUACAGAUUUGAACACAUGCAAGCAAUUUAUUGUUUUAUGGAUGUAAGGUGUUCCAGGGAAAAUGAAAAAUGGCCCUCUAUGUGGAAAUUUUCCAGAAGAAGCUCAGACCUAACGAUGGACUGAAAGGGAAACAACACAGGACCAAGCAGUAGGAUGAGGUGUCUAAAGCAUGUUUCUCCAGCAUAGCUUUAUUUUCAGAGACAUUCAUGCCUGUUUCACUUCUACAGCCAUGUACAGACAUCCUCAGUAAAAGCAAAAUAGGGGGAACAACUUAUGGGAUAACAGCAGCAGAGGGAAUGGAUAAAUCCUCAGCAAAGGGAUAAGCAAAACAUGGCAGAGAGGGUGAUGGAGAAGUGUGGAUGACUCUUGACAAUCGCCUGCAAGAUUUCUACAGUUUUGAAUCCCCACCCUGAGAAUGGAAAAGUGGCUUCACUGGGAACAACAUUAAUCCAAAUAACAUGACUGGCAACACCAUUUUUUUCUUAAACUAUGCUUAAGAAGACAAAGUGCAAAUACAUGCCAUGAUGGUUCUUUAGCAUAUUAGUAAAUUAUGCCAGCUUCCAAAAGAAAUGGUUAUUAGACUAGAGAACAAAACUAUGCAGAGUGUUUGAAAUUCUCCAGACCAUGUUUUCUUUAUGUUUCUAAAUGCUUUUUACUCCUCUUAUAUGUCCUUGGCAUGAAUUUUUUUUUUUUUUUCCCUAUUGGUUUAAUUUCUCUUUUUACUUGUGGCACUUUUAUUUCAGAUGUUGGAAAUUAAAAAUAAAAAUUGGAACAGCUGUAUAAACACGAGGUAUUUAAGAAAGAAAGCAACUUUCAAUGAGUGUUGACCUGCUUUGCAAAAAGUGCUUCAAAAGCAUGUAUCCGAAAGACUGUCACUUCUAUUUGAAUUUGAAUCUUGCUUUAUCAAUAAAAAUAUUAAUGCACUAUAAAAAUGGAAAUAUUAUAUAUCCUUAGUAAGAAAGUACCUUCAAAGGGUAUAUCAUCUUUAAUAAUGUUUUGAUUUAUGGCCUUCACAGCUUUGUUUUUAUUUUUAUUUCAAAUUUAUUUAAAGAAUGUCUAUAAAUAGCUAAUAUUGACUG
This is a long non-coding RNA of Anas platyrhynchos (mallard), 3546 nucleotides long. RefSeq lists it as uncharacterized. NCBI's taxonomy places the organism in Eukaryota, Metazoa, Chordata, Aves, Anseriformes, Anatidae. The record is from RefSeq and is a predicted model, not a curated record.